This 497-nucleotide ribosomal RNA is filed under the name uncultured bacterium. RNAcentral's name for it is "partial 16S ribosomal RNA". It matches the Rfam family "Bacterial small subunit ribosomal RNA", at positions 28 to 507 of the family's 1533-position model. The record is from RNAcentral.
GAUGAACGCUGGCGGCGUGCCUAAUACAUGCAAGUCGAGCGAACAGACGAGGAGCUUGCUCCUCUGACGUUAGCGGCGGACGGGUGAGUAACACGUGGAUAACCUACCUAUAAGACUGGGAUAACUUCGGGAAACCGGAGCUACUACCGGAUAAUAUAUUGAACCUCAUUGUUCACUAGUGAAAUACGGUUUUGCUGUCACUUAUAGAUGAAUCCGCGCCGCAUUAGCUAGUUGUUAAGGUAACGGCAUACCAAGGCAACGACGCGUAGCCGACCUGAGAGGGUGAUCGGACACACUGGAACUGAGACACGGUCCACACUCCUACGGGAGGCAGCAGUAGGGAAUCUUCCGCAAUGGGCGAAAGCCUGACGGAGCAACGCCGCGUGAGUGAUGAAGGUCUUCGGAUCGUAAAACUCUGUUAUUAGGGAAGAACAAAUGUGUAAGUAACUAUGCACGUCUUGACGGUACCUAAUCAGAAAGCCACGGCUAACUACGUG